UUCAGCGGCGGACGGGUGAGUAAUGCCUAGGAAUCUGCCCGAUAGUGGGGGACAACGUUUCGAAAGGAACGCUAAUACCGCAUACGUCCUACGGGAGAAAGCAGGGGACCUUCGGGCCUUGCGCUAUCGGAUGAGCCUAGGUCGGAUUAGCUAGUUGGUGGGGUAAAGGCUCACCAAGGCGACGAUCCGUAACUGGUCUGAGAGGAUGAUCAGUCACACUGGAACUGAGACACGGUCCAGACUCCUACGGGAGGCAGCAGUGGGGAAUAUUGGACAAUGGGCGAAAGCCUGAUCCAGCCAUGCCGCGUGUGUGAAGAAGGUCUUCGGAUUGUAAAGCACUUUAAGCUGGGAGGAAGGGCAGUAAGUUAAUACCUUGCUGUUUUGACGUUACCAGCAGAAUAAGCACCGGCUAACUUCGUGCCAGCAGCCGCGGUAAUACGAAGGGUGCAAGCGUUAAUCGGAAUUACUGGGCGUAAAGCGCGCGUAGGUGGUUCAGCAAGUUGGAUGUGAAAGCCCCGGGCUCAACCUGGGAACUGCAUCCAAAACUACUGGGCUAGAGUAUGGUAGAGGGUGGUGGAAUUUCCUGUGUAGCGGUGAAAUGCGUAGAUAUAGGAAGGAACACCAGUGGCGAAGGCGACCACCUGGACUAAUACUGACACUGAGGUGCGAAAGCGUGGGGAGCAAACAGGAUUAGAUACCCUGGUAGUCCACGCCGUAAACGAUGUCAACUAGUUGUUGGGUUCCUUGAGGACUUAGUAACGAAGCUAACGCGAUAAGUUGACCGCCUGGGGAGUACGGCCGCAAGGUUAAAACUCAAAUGAAUUGACGGGGGCCCGCACAAGCGGUGGAGCAUGUGGUUUUAAUUCGAAGCAACGCGAAGAACCUUACCUGG
This 892-nucleotide ribosomal RNA is filed under the name uncultured bacterium. RNAcentral describes it as "bacterial SSU rRNA". It matches the Rfam family "Bacterial small subunit ribosomal RNA", at positions 91 to 978 of the family's 1533-position model. The record is from RNAcentral.